UAAAAAAAGAGCAAAAAAAAAAGCGCUAACACAAUCCUUGAUAACGGAGUACGAAAUUGACAUGUGUGUCGGUAAGGUAAACAACAUUUGUUACAGUGCGGUAAAAUAUAUUGCAUCUGGAAUAUCUGAGUUACUUUUGUCAUUAUUUGUUAACUUUGUGUUAUAUAAAUUUUGUUCUUACACGGCAUACACAGACAUUUACUGUAACGCUUGUAUUGACUUGUAUGGACUAUUCGUUGUAUGUGAGUUACACAAGCACAGCACAUUACUUCAGUACAUGUUUGUUAUAUAUCCAUUCAUGCAUAGUAAGCUACGUAUUUAAAUAUUAAAUGAGUUCUGGGUAGAAACACGAACAGUUGUCGAACCCGGAAGUCGAUUAUAUAUACAAGCCGUGCUUUUCAGUUUCUUGCAAAUCCAGGGAUGAAUCCUACUCAGCAGAACAUCAUACCGACCGGUGCUCCAAAUCAAUUUCAAGCACUGUCUGAGAAUCAAAGUCUUCUUGCAAAUCCAGGGAUGAAUCCUACUCAGCAGAACAUCAUACCGACCGGUGCCCCAAAUCCAGUUCAAACACUGUCUGAGAAUCAAAGUUUUCCGGCAAAAGAACCGCUGAAUGGUCCACCUGACGUUCGCCAAAAUCAACUGUAAAGUUCUGCCCCAACUGCCAGUUCCUCCACCGCAAGUUGCUCAGCCUCUUCAGCCAUCUUCUCAGCCUCUUCAGCCAUCUUCUCAGCCUCUUCAGCCAUCUUUUCAGCCUCCACAGCCAGCUUCUUGGUCUCUGCAGCCAGCUUAAUACAAAACAUCAAUAAGUACAUUAUUCAAACAGCAAUCUUAAGAUACAUGAAAAUAUUGUAGACUUUAAUUUAGGUUUUCUUUUUAAAUAUUUUGUUUUUAAAGUUAAAACUUUCUUGU
Long non-coding RNA from Mizuhopecten yessoensis (Yesso scallop), 909 nucleotides. RefSeq lists it as uncharacterized. The transcript has 5 exons. The record is from RefSeq and is a predicted model, not a curated record. Lineage: Eukaryota; Metazoa; Mollusca; Bivalvia; Pectinida; Pectinidae.